RNAcentral lists this long non-coding RNA (775 nucleotides) under Medicago truncatula (barrel medic). RNAcentral's name for it is "long non-coding RNA (MTRU_LNC008367)". The record is from RNAcentral. Lineage: Eukaryota; Viridiplantae; Streptophyta; Magnoliopsida; Fabales; Fabaceae.
GUCACUUAAUUAAAAAUCUUAAUUUCUUCUCUAUUCUCUUCUUCUCGGGCGGCGACAUUCAUCUUCUUCCCAACAACAUUCUUCUUCUUUUCAUCAAACCCAAUUCUUUCCAACAACCAACAUAACUCAGAUUUGAUUAUUAAAAAUCUCAAUUUCCUCUCUCAAGAACACAACACAACACAACAUCAACCAACAACAACACGCUGCAACGCUGCUACAAUACAAACUCAUUCAAAUCUGAAUCCGAAAAUGGGUUGUUAUUGUGAUGUUGUUGUUGAUUGAAUCCGAAAAUGAGUUGUUUGUGUAUUGUUGUUGUUGUUGAUUGGAUCCAAUACAAACUCAUUCAAAUCUGAAUCCGAAAAUGGGUUGUUAUUGUGAUGUUGUUGUUGAUUGAAUCCGAAAAUGAGUUGUUUGUGUAUUGUUGUUGUUGUUGAUUGGAUCCAAUACAAACUCAUUCAAAUCUGAAUCAACGAUUCAAGUACGAAUUCGAAUCUGAUGGUGGUUUGUGGUGGUGAGGAGGAAGGAGAAAUAAGAAGAAUGGUAGAAAAGGAGUGAGUAAGAGAAGGAUGAAGAGAAGAAGAAUGAGGGAGUAAGAAAUGGGAACGCUGUAGAAGGAGAGGACAGAAAAGAAGAUGAAGUUUUUUUUUUUAUUUUUUUUUUAUGUUCUAAGUUAAUUAAAUUAAGUUAUUUUUAUUAAAAUAAAUUUAAAUGGAACAAACAAAAUUGAAAAAGAAUUUUGUUAAAAAAAAUUUGGGAUUUUUUAAUUUAACAUUAG